This 230-nucleotide ribosomal RNA is filed under the name uncultured bacterium. RNAcentral describes it as "partial 16S ribosomal RNA". It matches the Rfam family "Bacterial small subunit ribosomal RNA", at positions 118 to 347 of the family's 1533-position model. The record is from RNAcentral.
UGAGUAAUCUGCCCUUGGCUUUGGGAUAGCCACCGGAAACGGUGAUUAAUACCGGAUACGACCGCUCCUCGCAUGAGGUGGUGGUGGAAAGUUUUUCGGCCAGGGAUGUGCUCGCGGCCUAUCAGCUUGAUGGUGAGGUAAUGGCUCACCAUGGCUUCGACGGGUAGCCGGCCUGAGAGGGUGACCGGUCACACUGGGACUGAGACACGGUCCAGACCUCCGUACGGGAG